RNAcentral lists this long non-coding RNA (2746 nucleotides) under Homo sapiens (human). RNAcentral's name for it is "HSALNT0008557". The record is from RNAcentral. Lineage: Eukaryota; Metazoa; Chordata; Mammalia; Primates; Hominidae.
GCUCUUAAGGGCAGUUUGCCUGGGCUGGAAGAAUGGGUACAUUAGAUGUAUUCCAAACAGCCAGCUUGGGCAUGAAUACACUGCCCCAUCAGCUUUCUGGGAACUGGCACAAUAAAAUCACUUCCUGAAGUUAGAAGGUAGAGAGAACUCCAACAAGGGUAUAAAUAGUGCACAGAGUAGUUCUGCUAAAACGACAGGAUCCAGAGACACUCUCAGUCUUGGAAAUCCUACCAACAAGGAUUCAGAGUCUCACUCUGUGGCCCUGGCUGAAUGCAGUGGCACGAUCUUGGUUCACUUCAACCUCCACCUCCUGGGUUCAAGCAAUUCUCCUGCCUCAGCCUCCUGAGUAGCUGGGACUGCAGGUGUGAGCCACUACACCCGGCUAAUUUUUGUAUUUUUAGUAGAGAUGGGGUUUCGCCAUGUUGGGCAGGCUGGUCUUGAACUCCUGACCUCAAGUGAUCUGCUGUCUUUAGACUCCUGAAGUGCUGGGAUUACAGGUGUAAGCCACCUUGCUCGGCCCAAGGAAGAAUUUCUUAAUUAAAGAUGUAUACAAUACGCUAAAGGAUUAAAAAUUUACACACUACACAAAAAUUAAAUUCUACUUAUCAAUGGUCAACAUUUUAAAAAGAAAUAGAACGGGAGGAAAACACAAGAAUGCUGAGAAGCAGUAGUCUAUGGCAUCACAAGCGUCACAAGAGCAGCAUGUUUGAAGAAAGAGGAGGUUGCCAUCUGUGUUCAACGUGGCUGAGAGGUGGAGUAAGAAGACAGCAAAGUGUGCAGUGGAUGUGGAGAUGCAAGGCACACAGGCAAGCAUAACAAGAGCAGCUUCAACAGAGUAGGAGGAAACCCAGGGCAGUGCCUGGACAGCUGCUCCUCUUUCUCCUCACCCUUCCAGAAAGUGCCACGCCUCCCACUGCCCUGGAUGCCCCAUCACUUGCAUAUUCAUACCUACCCUAAAAUACUUGAAUGUAGCGGUAGGUUUCUUUUUGCUUGUAUUCUGUAACGGAAAAAGUGGAAUUAUUACCUGUUUUUUUAUUUAGCUGAUUGCACAAGCUUUUGACAAUUCUAUCAUUUUUCUGACAUCUCUCCCUCUCUGAGAAGAUGAGAAAGAGAAACCAUAAUAAAAUUGCGUCAAUCCCUAUCGUUGAAACAGGUCUUUAUUGUUUCUCAUUAACCUGAGCUUUCUGGAGGGUCCAAGGAUGAAAGCUUGAGGUGCAGCCAACCAGUGCUAAAAUCCUAAACCUCACACUCUGUGUGUAUGUGACACACUCAUGCACACACACACACACACAAAUGUGAAAGGCUCUCUUUCCCUUCCUCCUUUCCUUGUCUCUUGCAAGGUUGAACAGAUUGGUCAUUUUAACCCCAUUAUGACUUCAAUAAAGAGAAGUCAGCCUAAAGAGGGGCAGGGAAUGGGCACAGAAACCAGGUCCUGUGCUCCCCUAGGGAGCGGCUGUGUCUCAACUCAUGAGAUCUUGAAAAUAUUUCCCCCUUCCUAAAAAUUAUUCUCUUCCAGCAAAAAUAGCUUCUAAACUAUGGAAGCUCUGAUGUGCACAAGGAUUUCAAAAUGUCCCUAAUGAAGAUUAUAAUUAAAAUAUUUAAAUGGGUUUUUAAUUUUCUUUCUGGGCUGUGUUAUUUCCUAGUCCUCUUCAGGAGCUCCUAUUGUUCAGUCAUGACAGAAUCCUCUGUCAGAAAUUAUAGCCUGCUGCCUUUCAGCAUCUUCAUUAAAAUGCAGUGCUGCCAGAUAUAUCUGCAUGCAUAUGAAUGAAGCAUCUAUAGAAUAAUUAAGUCAUGAAUAACACAUUGCUGAGCAUGGCUUUUCCUGAAUAAAAAAAGAAUGCUAUUUAUGAACCCAGAAAUUUUAUAUUAUAUUAAAAAAUAAUUGGCAAUAACAAGUAUCAUUUGAGGAUUCAUUAAUUUAAAUUAUGAUUUCCCUGCUAUAAACUCCAUUUUUAAUAAAAUGGCAAUUUACAUUGGAAAAUGAAUGUGAACCUAUAUGCAAUUUUUCUUCAUUUUGCUUAAAAGGCCACCCGAAAGCUUUUGGCAAUGGGGGUUGCAUAAUUUGAAAAUCUUUUAGGUCUAUUAUAAACAAAAGGCCAUUAGCAUCACAGCAAGUUAACAGGCCUGAGUUCAAACAAAUAGUGACAUAUCAAUGGAAAAACAUAGACAGUAUUUGUGAUAUUAUAAAAUAUUUAUUUUUGGCUGUGUCCAUGGUUUCUAGCUCACAGCUCCUAUAGCCUUUAUAAUUUCCUAAGUAACUAGAAUGAUAAGGAUAUUUUUUGUUAAACUAUUUGGCCUUUUGUCUUCAGUUCCCAGAAACAGCUUCAGAGUAGCUCCAGAGUGAUGAAGGUGAAACCAGCAUUUCUGUUAUUUAUAACAAGCCCCUUUCAACCACACCUGAGACUAUGUUAAUGAGGUGAUUUUUGGAAAAUCCCUAGAUAACUACAGGAUGAAGGGUUGGUUGCCAAGGGGACUUACUGUGUGCUUAGAGGGUUGAGACUCACAGCCCCACACCCCAUCUCACAUCCAGAGAAGGAGAGAGGCUGAAGUUUAAGUUGAUCACCAGUGGCCAACAAUUUAAUCAAUCAUGUCUACAUAAUGAAGCCUCCAUAAAGUACCAGAAGAGCUGAGUUCAGGGAGCUUCCAAAUUGGUGAACAAGAAUACAUUAACCUGCUGGAAGGGUGGCACCCUCCACCUCCACAGGGACAGAGGCUCCUGGGCUUGGGACAUUUCCAAACCUUCUUU